GAGGAAGAGGGCGGGAGCAAACCUUGACUAGCUUGUUUCAUUAGGCAAAUUUUGGUAUCAAGAGAUGAAAGUGAAAGGCAGGAUUUGAAGCUUGAGACAUUCUAUCCAUGAGCAGGCAAGAGACAGCCUAGCGAACUGAAACAUCUUAGUAGCCAGAGGAAAAGUUCUGUUCUUCAUUUGAUGAGAAGGGUGGGCUCAUAGCCCCGCAGAUGUAGGUUGGCUUGCCACGCCAACUGAACUGCGUAACCAAAGCGAUUCCUGUUAUUGGAAGAUAGGUUUAACCUAUGUCGGUUCGAGUCCGGUGACUCUCUCCAUUAUUAGUUCGGGGU
RNAcentral lists this long non-coding RNA (329 nucleotides) under Oryza brachyantha (malo sina). RNAcentral's name for it is "long non-coding RNA (OBRA_LNC003551)". Lineage: Eukaryota; Viridiplantae; Streptophyta; Magnoliopsida; Poales; Poaceae. The record is from RNAcentral.